UACUCAUUGGACCUAAGCAGGCUGCCCCC
This 29-nucleotide non-coding RNA is filed under the name Mus musculus (house mouse). The record is from RNAcentral. Lineage: Eukaryota; Metazoa; Chordata; Mammalia; Rodentia; Muridae.